GUGCAGCUGCCGGGGGAGCGGCGGUGUGCCGGGCCGCAGGGCUGGGCCCAGGGCCUGUGUGCACCCCAGCACCUGUGCCCUGUGAAACGCAGACCGUGUGCUCCCAAACAAUGUCCCAAUGAACUGUACGGGGGGCAGAGGUCACGCGAACCAUUAUUGUGCUGUAUUUUAUGCAAACAAAAAAAAUGUAUUAGAGGAUGUGCUUUGUAUUGUAACAAGCAGGGGAUCACCUCAGCAGGCCUGAGCGGGGCAGUGCACUGCAGGGAAGGGGGCUUGGAACAGAGAAUAUUUAGGGGAGGAAUGACAGCACUGUGCCAGCCUGCAGCAGCUGCACCAAGUUACUGGAACACCAGAACACUUAUUCUACAGGCCUAGAAGCAAAGGAUUCUAAAGGUGUUUUCAGAAGGUGCCCAUGCUACUGAGAAGUGUAUGCACCAUUUUUAAAAGUGCCUUGCUGAGAGAUGAUGGACUGGGU
This 475-nucleotide long non-coding RNA is filed under the name Numida meleagris (helmeted guineafowl). RNAcentral describes it as "lncRNA (ENSNMEG00000013700.1)". Lineage: Eukaryota; Metazoa; Chordata; Aves; Galliformes; Numididae. The record is from RNAcentral.